Molecule: ribosomal RNA, 344 nt
Filed under: uncultured Leptolinea sp.
Lineage: Bacteria; Bacillati; Chloroflexota; Anaerolineae; Anaerolineales; Anaerolineaceae
Description: bacterial SSU rRNA
Rfam family: Bacterial small subunit ribosomal RNA
Source: RNAcentral
GGGAGCUUGCACAGGUGCUGCAUGGCUGUCGUCAGCUCGUGUCGUGAGAUGUUCGGUUAAGUCCGCUAACGAGCGCAACCCUCGCUGUGUGUUAUAUGUGUCACACGGGACUGCCGGUCUUAAGCCGGAGGAAGGUGGGGAUGAUGUCAAGUCAGCAUGGCCUUUAUAUCCUGGGCUACACACACGCUACAAUGGCCAACACAAUAGGUUGCUAAGCCGCGAGGUGGCGCCAAUCCAUAAAGUUGGUCUCAGUUCAGAUUGUAGGCUGCAACCCGCCUGCAUGAAGAUGGAGUUGCUAGUAACCGCAGGUCAGCUAUACUGCGGUGAAUACGUUCCCGGGGCUU